Molecule: ribosomal RNA, 301 nt
Filed under: uncultured bacterium
Lineage: Bacteria
Description: partial 16S ribosomal RNA
Rfam family: Bacterial small subunit ribosomal RNA
Source: RNAcentral
CAGUAGCCGCGGUAAUACGGAGGGGGCUAGCGUUGUUCGGAAUUACUGGGCGUAAAGCGCACGUAGGCGGCUUGGUAAGUUAGAGGUGAAAGCCUGGAGCUCAACUCCAGAAUUGCCUUUAAGACUGCCGAGCUAGCAGGUGAGAGAGGUAAGUGGAAUUCCGAGUGUAGAGGUGAAAUUCGUAGAUAUUCGGAAGAACACCAGUGGCGAAGGCGGCUUACUGGCUCAUAUUGGACGCUGAGGUGCGAAAGCGUGGGGAGCAAACAGGAUUAGAUACCCCGGUAGUCCCUGUCUCUUAUAC